UACGUAGGGGGCUAGCGUUGUCCGGAUUUAUUGGGCGUAAAGCGCGUGUAGGCGGCCAGGUAGGUCUGCUGUGAAAACUCGAGGCUCAACCUCGAGAUGUCGGCGGAAACCAUCUGGCUAGAGUCCGGAAGAGGAGAGUGGAAUUUACGGUGUAGCAGUGAAAUGCGUAGAGAUCGUAAGGAAGACCAGUUGCGAAGGCGGGUCUCUGGACAGUUCCUGACACUGAGGCACGAAGGCCAGGGGAGCAAACGGG
RNAcentral lists this ribosomal RNA (253 nucleotides) under uncultured bacterium. Its description in RNAcentral is "partial 16S ribosomal RNA". It matches the Rfam family "Bacterial small subunit ribosomal RNA", at positions 524 to 776 of the family's 1533-position model. The record is from RNAcentral.